RNAcentral lists this ribosomal RNA (410 nucleotides) under uncultured bacterium. RNAcentral describes it as "bacterial SSU rRNA". It matches the Rfam family "Bacterial small subunit ribosomal RNA", at positions 28 to 439 of the family's 1533-position model. The record is from RNAcentral.
GACGAACGCUGGCGGCGUGCUUAACACAUGCAAGUCGAGCGGAAAGGCCCUUUCGGGGGUACUCGAGCGGCGAACGGGUGAGUAACACGUGAGUAAUCUGCCUUGGCUUUGGGAUAACCACCGGAAACGGUGGCUAAUACCGGAUAUGACGGGCUCCGGCAUCGGGGUUCGUGGAAAGUUUUUUCGGCCAGGGAUGUGCUCGCGGCCUAUCAGCUUGUUGGUGGGGUAAUGGCCUGCCAAAGGCUUCGACGGGUAGCCGGCCUGAGAGGGUGACCGGCCACACUGGGACUGAGACACGGCCCAGACUCCUACGGGAGGCAGCAGUGGGGAAUAUUGGGACAAAUGGGCGAAGCCUGAUCCAGCAACGCCGCGUGAGGGAUGACGGCCUUCGGGUUGUAAACCGUACUUUC